UUUUUGUUGUUUUUUUAAAUCAACCCAAUGGUGUUUUUCACUCCCUGAGUAGUCAGGAGCCGGUCACAUGGAAUAUUAAGAUCCCUACAUGAAUGUUCUUGGAUCAGGCCCCAAGGAGAAACUGGCUUGGCAGAUUCAGGGCUCGCAGCACCUUCUCUGGAGCUCAGAAGACAACUAGGUAUUCUAGGGGUGGCCCAACUGCCCCUGGAGGGUGGAGUAAUGCGUCGGUCACAGAGGGUUGAAUGUCUUCCCUCGCGUGCCUUAAUGGAUUUCCAUACUGAUCUUUUAUCCUACAGAUGUUUCCCUUUACUGGAUCUAAGUUUUGGAGCCAACUUAUCCAAUAAUUAUAAAUGUAUUACUUUACAUAUCAGAGCUAGAUACAAUCAGCGUCUCUUCACUGGAGAAAGCCAAGAUGACUAUGCUGAAACAAGCAGUAGCCCAAAAGAAAACUAGCCAUUCAUGUGUUCAUUCAUUUGCCAAUACAGUGUGCCAGGCACUGUGCUAGAAUCAAGAGAUAAAACCAAGAGCAAGAUCUUGUCCGGGGGAAGUUUGCUUUUUUUUUUUUUUUUGAAAUGUAAGACUCGUUUAAGAAGUCCACCCUUGUCUCUGAGAAUUCAUUGAAGUGCAUGAGUUUCAGUUUGGGAGUCACAGGACUCCGGCUUCCACCAUCACUUCGAAGAAGGUGAUGCGAAGUGCACACUCAUCCUGACCAAGGUGUGUGGCCAAGUGUUUCAGUUGAGGGUUCUCUCUCCAAACCACACUCGGCUUUGAGCAAACUCACCACGUGCCUUUGAUCCCUAGUUCCAUCUUCGUGGACUGUGGAUAACAUCUCUUAUUCAUUCACAAGAAAAGGUAUCAGGCAUCCUUGUCCAGGGCACCGGUACCUCUCCCUUCUUACUGCCAGUGUCAUGUAGCACAGGGUAGGUGCGAACAAACCUGUUUGUUGAGUGAGUGAAGGACAACGGCCCUGUCCAAAUUCUGAAUCUGUCGGACCACGGUAGGCUGCUCAUAUAUGCACUCCUACAUAAAUGGGGACGGUGAGUCACACCUCUCCAAUAGGUGUUGCUACAAUCCACUCUUAGAGCACCAAAGAGCUUCAGUGGGGCACAUAUUUCAGUGGAUUACUAGAACUUUUUUUCUCCUUGGCCACGCUGAGGUGCGCAAAGCACUUGGAAAGCCUCACUUUACACCAACUGUAGGCAUCGCUUCUAUUUCUCCCUGUUGUCUCUGACUUUUCCAGAGCCAUCACUCAUCUUUAGCAUCAACAGACCACCAUAUGACAGGAGGGAACUUGUUCAUAUGGUUUGAUCUAGAAAACACAUAUGGACAGAAAGUAACCACGAAUUCGAUAAUCCUUUAAAAUGAAUUCAGGUUGCCCCGGGUGUGAGUGUGUGUGUGUGUGUGUGUGUUUAUAUGAGAUUUUUAUUGAUUUAAGUUUCUGCUCCAUGCGUGGCAUCUGCAGCGACACGGAAGUCCUUUGUAACAAUUCUCAAGCCCGCAGGUUGGCAGCAUGGUUCUCAAAUCUAAACCAUGGUCCGCCUAUAACCUCAGCUUUCACCAGCGCCCUUUACCCACAGCUGUCCCUCCAACUCUUUCUCUUUUGUUAUUGGACCAUCUCGCCCCAGAGGUUUGAAGACAAGACGCUCUGUGACUUUGAAUCGGUGAGAUUCUGGAGUACACGGCACCCGCCCCAACUGGGGUUUCCACGCAGAUCGUAUACCUGUCUGAUACUUUAUUCAUACACGUUCAAAGAGUGCCCUGCCCCACUGCAGAUCCUCACAUGCCAACCUCUACUAGCUGUUUUUUUUUAAUUUUUAUUUAUUUAUGAUAGUCACAGAGAGAGAGAGAGAGAAGAGAGAGAGAGAGAGGCAGAAGCAGGCUCCAUGCACCGGGAGCCCGAUGUGGGAUUCGAUCCCGGGUCUCCAGGAUCGCGCCCUGGGCCAAAGGCAGGCGCCAAACCGCUGCGCCACCCAGGGAUCCCUCUAUUAGUUGUUUUAUUGUGUUUUCUUUCCUCGGGCUCAGCGUUUCAAAGGGCAGGUGCCACAAUUAAAUGAUGAUUACGGAGGUGUCUGCGCUGGUGUCUCGUGCUCACGAUUUAACAGACGGUGCCAGGCCAGGGGUCCUCUCGGGAAGGCUGCUUUCCAAGUCUCUCAGCCUCCCCCUGUGCUCCCAGCUGUGUCAGCUCGUCCCCGCCUCUGGGACACCGCCAGCCCCCCUCCCUCUCACCGGCAUCCUGCUGCCAAUCCGAGCCCCGCUUGCUCCCGCCGUGUACCCCCGAGGCACAUCUAAGCCCUGCAGGCUCUGUGUGGCCACCGCAACCCUGGCCUCCGAGUGGCAAAGACACUGCUCUGUACGAAGGUGAUGACUCAAGUGCCAGGUUUUUCACUCCCAUCUUGCCUUUUCUUGGACCACCCCUUGCUUUGUGCCACCUGCUUCUCAAGAUGCUCACCAGGCCCGCUGGUGGAGGUCCCAGCGUCACCUGCUUGCCUAGGGCAUUCCUUGAUUGACCAUUUGUGGCCAUGCCUCCUGAGCCUGGUGCUCUGCCCAAAAGGUAGUGUUCCCCAAGCUGCUGGCGGUGGCUACAGCUGCUGCCUGUGCCUAGGAGCCUGGUGCUGCCACCCACACUCUAACGGACUUCGGAAAACCUCAAAUUCCUCACUCUAUACAGUGGAGAUCACAAGCAAGACCAGUAGCAGAGCAUGUUUUGUGACAAUUAAAAGGGUUGGUACUGGGGCGCCUGGGUGGCUCAGUCGGGUAAGCAUCUGCCUUCAGCUCAGGUCAUGGUCUCAGGGUCCUGGGAUGGAGCAACGCAUCAGGCUCCCUGCUCAGUGGGGAGUCUGCUUCUCUCUCCCCCUCUUCCUCUGUCCCUCCCUCUGCUUGUGCCCCCUCUCUCUGUCAAAUAAAUAAAUAAAAUCUUAAAAGAAAAAAAAAGUUCUGGUACUUUUGAGGCUUCUGUAGACUUGAAUGUCUGCAUCCCUCCCAAAUUCGCAUACUAAUUCCUAAGACCCAAUGGGAUGGUAUUUGGGAGGUGAUUAGUAAUGAGGGUGAAGCUCUCAUGAAUGGGAUUAGGGCCCUUUUAUUUAUUUAAUUAUCUUUAAAAGAUCUAAUUAAUUUAUUUGAAAGCCAGUGAGAGAGCAUGAGUGGGGAGAGGGAGAGAGGGAGGGAGAGACUCCCAAGCGGACUCUCCACUGAGCCUGACACAGGGCUCAGUCCUAGAGCCCUGAGAAGAGUACAUGUGUUGAUCGUUGCUGCUAAUUCUGUAUGAAGCCUGUUUAUCAGGCAUUCUCAGAGAAUGCCACCUAGGACCCGUGCCAAUGAUGAGAUGACCGAAUGUUUAGCCCAGGUGCAAAUGAUGUGUACGUGCUCACUCCUAGUGAUCGAAAGAACCUGGCCAGAGCAACUUGCUGUUUUAUUGGUCAAUGGGUUGUUUGCAUUAACUCAUGCUUCGCCCUGGAAACCUGUAAAAGAACUGGGUCAAAAUGGAAGCAUCCAUCCACACGAAGGACAGGUGUGAACGGUCCUGUGAGGGACAAUGUUUCCUCUCACCACCACGCUCCAGCUCUAGGGUUUGCUUGGGACUGAGAUAGUUGCCAAAGGAAACUUGUACUCUUGGCUCUAAGAAUGCAGCCUGGAAGCCCCGUUUUCCCUACACUUGGCCAGGGUGGUAGGACCGACUGCC
RNAcentral lists this long non-coding RNA (3679 nucleotides) under Canis lupus familiaris (dog). Its description in RNAcentral is "lncRNA (ENSCAFG00000058992.1)". The record is from RNAcentral. Lineage: Eukaryota; Metazoa; Chordata; Mammalia; Carnivora; Canidae.